This 253-nucleotide ribosomal RNA is filed under the name uncultured bacterium. RNAcentral's name for it is "partial 16S ribosomal RNA". It matches the Rfam family "Bacterial small subunit ribosomal RNA", at positions 524 to 776 of the family's 1533-position model. The record is from RNAcentral.
GACAGAGGGUGCGAACGUUGUUCGGAAUUACUGGGCGUAAAGCGCAUGUAGGCGGCAGCGCAAGUCGGGCGUGAAAUCCCACGGCUCAACCGUGGAAGUGCACUCGAAACUGCGCAGCUAGAGUCCUGGAGAGGAAGGUGGAAUUCCGCGUGUAGCAGUGAAAUGCGUAGAGAUGCGGAGGAACACCGAUGGCGAAGGCAGCCCCCUGGGCUAGCACUGACGCUCAGGCACGAAAGCGUGGGGAGCAAACAGG